CCCCUAGACGUUCUGGGCUGCACGCGCGCUACAAUAAUACGCACAGCGAGUAUCACCGAGCUCGAAAGGGCAAGGUAAACAAUAGAAAAGGUACUGUAAUGGUUAUAGAUCCUUGUAAUUAUUGAUCUUCAACGAGGAAUUCCUAGUAAGUAUGUGUCAUCAUCACGCACUGAUUACGUCCCUACCCUUUGUACACACCGCCCGUCGCUCCUACCGAUUGGGUGAGCCGAUGAAACUCUCGGAUGUAGGCUAUUCAUAGCCCGCAGAAGAGAUUUGAAUCGUAGCGCUUAGAGGAAGGAGAAGUCGUAACA
Molecule: ribosomal RNA, 311 nt
Filed under: uncultured eukaryote
Lineage: Eukaryota
Description: partial 18S ribosomal RNA
Rfam family: Eukaryotic small subunit ribosomal RNA
Source: RNAcentral